Sander lucioperca (pikeperch) is the source of this 111-nucleotide long non-coding RNA. RefSeq lists it as uncharacterized. The record is from RefSeq and is a predicted model, not a curated record. Lineage: Eukaryota; Metazoa; Chordata; Actinopteri; Perciformes; Percidae. The transcript has 4 exons.
UGACUGAGAGUAAUAGGUGGUGUUACCACUGUUAGAAGCAACCCACUCCAGUCCUUUUCCAGGAGCCUGUCUGAUCCAGGCCAUCCAGUAGCUACUGAAUGACAAUCCAGA